Xiphophorus maculatus (southern platyfish) is the source of this 74-nucleotide non-coding RNA. The record is from Rfam. Lineage: Eukaryota; Metazoa; Chordata; Actinopteri; Cyprinodontiformes; Poeciliidae.
GGUCGCUUAGCUCAACUGGUCAGAGCGUGGUGCUAAUAACACCAAGGUCAUGGGUUCAAUCCACAUAUUGGCCA